GCAUGGUGGUUUCUUUCUAGUUGUGUUGCCGCCUCUCGUCUCUUAGUCCUAGGUGUUGCCGGUUCUCUUUUGACCGUGCAGUUAAUGUUAUGUUGGUUCUCCUUAAUUAGCCAUGCUCUGUAUUGGAUCCGGUUUUCCUUAUAAACAGGACCAACUCGCUUCUUCUAUCAAAUUCCGGCAGGUCUUCUAGGUCGUUCGUUAAAAAAAAAAAUCAAAGUCUUGUUCAUAACUGUAGCAGGUUACC
Molecule: long non-coding RNA, 244 nt
Filed under: Oryza brachyantha (malo sina)
Lineage: Eukaryota; Viridiplantae; Streptophyta; Magnoliopsida; Poales; Poaceae
Description: long non-coding RNA (OBRA_LNC002067)
Source: RNAcentral